Molecule: long non-coding RNA, 2658 nt
Filed under: Homo sapiens (human)
Lineage: Eukaryota; Metazoa; Chordata; Mammalia; Primates; Hominidae
Description: non-protein coding lnc-DMRTA1-19:1
Source: RNAcentral
AUACUUAGCAAUGGAAUUGCUAAAUUAUAUAGCAGUUCUAUUUUUACCUUUUUUGGGGAUUUACAUACUUUUUUUUAUAAUGGCUGUAAUAAUUCACAUUCCCAUCAACAAUGUAUAAGGUUCUCUUUUCUCACCAUCCUCACCAGCAUUUGUUAUUUAUUGUUUUAACAAUAGCCAUUCUAACUGGGGUGAUAUAAUAUCUCAUUGUGGUUCAAUUUGCACUUCCUCAUCGUAAUUCUGAGCAUUUUUAAAAUAUACCUGUUGGCCAUUUAUAUGUAUUCUUUUGAGAAACAUUUAUUCAGUUAUUUUGACUAUUUUUUAUUUAGACUAUUUGUGAGGUUUUUGCUAUUGAGUUGGUUGAGUUCCUUAUAUAUUUUGGUUAUUGAUCCUUUGUCAGUUUGACAUAUUUUUUCCAUUCUAGAAUUGAUCUUUAUCAAGACCCAUGUCCUGGAGAAUUUCACCAAUGUUUCCUUCUAGUAGAUGCAUAGUGCAGGUCUUACAUUUAAGUCUUUAAUUCAUUUUAGUUGAUUUUUUGUAUGUGGUGAAAGAUGGGGACCUAGUUGUAUUCUUUUGCAUAUGGAUACCAGUUUUCUCAGCAACAUUUAUUAAAGAGACUAUCUUUUUUCCAAUGUAUGCUCUUGGCGCCUCUAUCAAAAAUGAGUUGGCUGUACAUGCAGGAUUUAUUUCCUGGGUUUUUUAUUCAUUGAUUUUUGUGUCUGUUUCAUUGGUUUAGGUGUCUUUUUGUGCCAGUAACAUGCUGUUUUGGUUACUCUAGCUUUAUAGUACAACUUAAAAUCAGGUAAUAUGUUGCCUCCAGCUAUGGUUUUUUUUUUUUUUUUUCUAUCUUUUUCUCCUUUUUUUUUUUUUUUUGCUCAGGGAUGCUUUAGUCAUUUCAGGGUUUUCAUGGUUUCAUGUGAAUUUUAGGACUUUUUUUCUAUUUAUGUGAAGAAUGUCAUUGGUAUUUUGACAGGGAUUACAUUGAAUCUAUGGAUAGCUUCGGGUAGUAUAGACAUUUUAACCAUGUAAUUUUUCCAACCCAUGGGAAUGUCCUUCAAUUUUCUGUGUGUGUUCACUUCAAUUUCUUUUAUCAAUGUGUUAUAGUUUUCCUCUUAUAGAUCUUUUACCUCAUUGGUUCAAUUUGUUCCUAGGUAUGUUUUGGUAGCUAUUGUAAAUCAGACUGCAUUCUUGAUCACUUUUUCAGACUGAUUGCCCUCAAUGAUCUCCAUACCUGUUUUAUUGCCCUUCUAUAAUCCAUUCUCAAUGCAUCAACGUGAGGAAUCUUUUAUAAACAUAAAUCAGAUGGCAUCAUUCCCUGGCUCAAAAUCCUAGCUUUCUCUGAAUGCAGUCCAAAUUCAUCACAAGACCCCAUGUUAUCUCUCCCUCCCCCUCCUCACGUGGUACUCUUUUCUAAUUCACAGCACUCCAAACACAUGGAUUUGACAAUGCCAUUACUUUUCUUCAAAUAAGCACACCAACCUUGUUCCUGUCUUAGGACUUUGUGUUUGUUUUUCCCUCUGCCAGGAGCACUUUUCUGUCAGAUUUUCACUCUCUGUAGCCUUUCAUUUCACAGGUCUCUGCCUAAAUAUUGUCUCCUUGAAGAGUCCUUUCUUGACCACCUAAUCUAAAGCAGUCAAUCUCCUUUCCCAGUCACUAUCACAGGAAGACCUUAUUGCAGUUCUCACAGCACUUAUUAGUAUCUGAAAUUAUCUUUCUAGUUUAUUGAUUUCAUUUUGUCUUUUUUCUCUCAUAUAAUUUUAAUAAGAUGAUGGACUUUGACUCUUUUGUUAGGUGAAUUUUCCCCAGUGUCUAUUUAUUGGCUGAUGCAAUAAAUAUUUGUUGGGACAGUAGUUAAAUGAAUAAAAAUAUUAUUAAAUAGGGGGUGUGGACCACUGUCCUUUUAGGCCAGACUUCACCCUAAUUGUAGUUCCAUCCAUUUUUAAAAAAGCUUUAUUUAAUUACUCAUUUCAUUUCCCUAAGCCAUUUUCUCUUUUAAAUAGAAUUAUUAUAAGAUAUGUUAUUCCUGGGAAGAUGGCAUGAAAUGACAUACAACUUAUUCUCCAUUCACCACUCUACUGCACCCUGGAUCUACCAGAUCCAUUUCCCACUCUACUGCAUCCUGUUCUGUGCUGUGACUGGUAUCCAUAAUCUGUAUUACCUGGAUCCAUUUUCCCUUAAGCUCCUCCUUGAGAUCCAACAAUAGGAGAACUCCUCCACUUCCCCUAUUUUCUUUUCCAGACAUGUUUUCUUUACCAGCUGACUCUGAAUGUAAUAACAGAUUCUGCCUGGCUGCUUUUUCCCUUCCAAGUCCCAGCUCUUAUCAGGCACUGGCAAUGCCAUUCUUUCUUCUUGCUUUCCAGGGGAGCUAAAGUCUUCCAACUAUUUUUAGUACCUGGAUGCCUUAUUGCCCAUAUGUUUAUAAAUAGUUAUUUCCUUAAUUAACUUAAGCUAAACUCUUUCAGGUGAGCAUUUGUCUCUUGCCAGGACCAUGAUUAACACUGAUACUGUCUGUGGGCAUUUUCUACACUUCCCAGAAACAAUUUAUUUUAACAACAUUUAUUGAAUGCCAAUUGCAUAUCAGGCACUAAGUAGGCACUCAGCACUAUGUGUAUCUGAUAUAUAGACAUAAGUGUCAUAAUGAUGAUGUUUUCAUUAAACAAG